GACGGGCGGUAUUGGAUCAUUACGCCAACAUCCUAGACAAAGUCGCAGACCUCAGUCCCGGUAGGUAACAUCAACAGAAGCUAUAACACUCCGAGGAGCCACAUUCAACUGCGAUUAUCUUACCACCAAAACUGAUGUUGGCCCAGUAAGAAAUUAGAGCACCACCCACAAGGAGUAGCGAUAAUUAAAUACCAGUCUGAUCGAAUACCCUUCCCUUUCAACAAUUUCACGUACUUUUUCACUCUCUUUUCAAAGUUCUUUUCAUCUUUCCUUCACAGUACUUGUUCGCUAUCGGUCUCUCGCCAAUAUUUAGCUUUAGAUGGAAUUUACCACCCACUUUGAGCUGCAUUCCCAAACAACUCGACUCUUCGAAGACAUCUUAUAAAGAAAAGAAUUCCUUGUCGCACGGGAUUCUCACCCUCUGUGACGUCCUGUUCCAAGGAACAUAGACAAGGACCAAUUCCAAGAAUAUCUUCUUCAAAUUACAACUCGGGCUUACGCCAGAUUUCAAAUUUGAGCUCUUGCCGCUUCACUCGCCGCUACUAAGGCAAUCCCUGUUGGUUUCUUUUCCUCCGCU
RNAcentral lists this ribosomal RNA (577 nucleotides) under [Candida] sp. CLIB 1156. RNAcentral describes it as "Candida sp. CLIB 1156 partial 26S ribosomal RNA". The record is from RNAcentral. Lineage: Eukaryota; Fungi; Ascomycota; Saccharomycetes; Saccharomycetales.